AGAUUAUUUCUUCUGCUGCAAAAAGAAUACUCAAGAUGUGGCAGUGGAAAUAGAAAACUUCAGUAGUAAACUUGGAUUGGGAAGUACUAACCUGUAUCUAUAUGGGCACACGAACACAGAUGAAUAAGAAGAUCAAGAGAUCACUCCUGAACCCCAGGUGCACAGACAAUUGUUCGCUACCCACGUGGUUACUGGGAAUGAAAUGUACAGUGCUGAGCCAUCUAUCCAGCCCCCUGACUCAGGAUCUCAGGCAGUGGUGAAAUCUAAGGUCCAAAAACGAUACAAUUUUCUCAAGGCAUCGUGACAAUUCCAGUAGCAGAGUGGCCAGACAACAUUUUUGACUUCUUGUCUUCUACCUAAG
This is a long non-coding RNA of Rattus rattus (black rat), 361 nucleotides long. RefSeq lists it as uncharacterized. NCBI's taxonomy places the organism in Eukaryota, Metazoa, Chordata, Mammalia, Rodentia, Muridae. The transcript is spliced from 3 exons. The record is from RefSeq and is a predicted model, not a curated record.